GUUAAUGURGCUUAUUGUAAAGCAAAGCACUGAAAAUGCUUAGAUGGAUAGGCUUAUCCCAUAAA
This 65-nucleotide transfer RNA is filed under the name Mus minutoides (Southern African pygmy mouse). RNAcentral's name for it is "tRNA-Phe". Lineage: Eukaryota; Metazoa; Chordata; Mammalia; Rodentia; Muridae. The record is from RNAcentral.